GCCGCGUGCAGGAUGAAGGCCUUCGGGUUGUAAACUGCUUUUGUACGGAACGAAACGGUGAGCUCUAAUACAGUUUGCUAAUGACGGUACCGUAAGAAUAAGCACCGGCUAACUACGUGCCAGCAGCCGCGGUAAUACGUAGGGUGCGAGCGUUAAUCGGAAUUACUGGGCGUAAAGCGUGCGCAGGCGGUGAUGUAAGACAGAUGUGAAAUCCCCGGGCUCAACCUGGGACCUGCAUUUGUGACUGCAUCGCUGGAGUACGGUAGAGGGGGAUGGAAUUCCGCGUGUAGCAGUGAAAUGCGUAUAUCUGCGGAGGAACACCGAUGGCGAAGGCAAUCCCCUGGACCUGUACUGACGCUCAUGCACGAAAGCGUGGGGAGCAAACAGGAUUACAUACCCUGGUAGUCCACGCCCUAAACGAUGUCCACUGGUUGUUGGGUCUUCACUGACUCAUUAACGAACCUGACGCGUGAAGUUGACCGCCUGGGGAGUACGGCCGCAAGGUUGAAACUCACAGGAAUUGACGGGGACCCGCACAAUCGGUGGAUGAUGUGGUUUAAUUCCAUGCAACGCGAAGAACCUUACCCACCUUUGACAUGUACAGAAGUUGCUAGAGAUAG
RNAcentral lists this ribosomal RNA (620 nucleotides) under Comamonadaceae bacterium Se1Pw_3048. RNAcentral's name for it is "bacterial SSU rRNA". It matches the Rfam family "Bacterial small subunit ribosomal RNA", at positions 396 to 1009 of the family's 1533-position model. The record is from RNAcentral. Lineage: Bacteria; Pseudomonadati; Pseudomonadota; Betaproteobacteria; Burkholderiales; Comamonadaceae.